GUGUAACCCUGGCCAACUGCACUGAAAGAGGAAACGAAAAUGAAAGUUCAAAAUCGGCAGAGCAUGAAAGCUUUCGAGCGCUGUUCGCUCCUCUUCGUGCUUCUCUGGUCUUGAGUCUUACGGCUUCCUAUUUUCUCCUUAGUAUGUGUUUUUAAGAAAAGCUUCUACAGCCCACCCUCAGCAUUUCGGAUUCCUUCAACAGAAUGCUUGAUUCCUGGCUUCCAGAAUGAUUAGAGAACACAUUCUCCAUGUCACUAAGCUGGUGGCACUUUGUCAUAACCACCUUGGGAAACAGCCCAAGGAGCAACUUGAACACAGAGUGGUAAGACAAGAGCCCACAGCUGGUAUAUGCAAACAGGUACACGGAGCAAUAGCAAGUUUACAAGGACGCCGUGGCCUUUGUUUCUACAGUUCUUGUCUGGAUUCUAUUCGGGGACAUACUGUAAGAAGAAACCUUUAUUAUCUUCAGCACUUUCAACCAACAGAAAUCCAGCCUUGUGGUGGCUAGUACAAAAAGGGACUCGAAGGAUCUAGAUCAGUAGUUCUCACCGGUAGGUUGUGACCCCUUUGGUGUGGAAUAUCAGCUAACAUUAGGAUUUAUAUCAGUAGCAAAAUUUUAGUUAUGAUGUGGCAACAAAAUAAUUUUAUGGUUGGUGGGGUCACCACAAGAUGAGGAACUGCAUUAAAGGGUCACAGCAUUGGGAAGGCUGAGAACCACUGCUCUAGAUUCCUCUUUACCAAGUUGGAAUAAAAAUGAAUUUAGAAUUGAGAGGCAAAAUAUCAAUUUAUGGCACAAAGUUCCUAUCUAGUUGACCAGAUCGGGUGAGAAACCCACUUCUCUACUAAUUAGGGAAGUGUUGUUUGAGUGUUCAUAGACUGGGGGCCAGAAGUGAGAAGGACUUCCUCAAAAGAGACAGGAGCUCUCUCCCCAAAAGAAAACUAAAAAAGGUUCCAAGGAAAAUGUUUUCCUGGGCUACUCAAAUGGGUAAAGGCACUGCUUCCAGACCUGACAGCCUCAAUUCAAUCCCAGGGAUCUACACGGAAGGAAAGAACUAACUCGCGAAAGGUUCCUCGCGCUGUGUGCUGUGACAUAAGGGGUGUGUGUAAGCACGCUGGCUCAUGCGCACACUCACUCACUGACAGUUCUGCUCAAUGUCAAUCAGCUCUCCUGUGUGCCACCACAAACAUGCCCCUCAUCCUCAGUAGAAGAAAACUCAUCCAGCUACCGAAUUUAAGCUCAAAUUCAGAAAUCCCUGAACACAGUCCAUUUUGAUCGGCUCCAGUUGUGGCCGAAUGAUGUGAUGGAUUCAUCGUCACUAUACGACUGUGUGUGUGCUAAAGAAGAUGGAAACAAUGAGGAGGAGCAGCAAGUGACGGGAUUUUGUAAGCUUUUCCCCAACAAGAGGAAAGGAAGUAAGGGCUGCACGUCUACAGGCGGACAAGAUCUCCAGUCACCCAGUCAGAGUUCCAAGCUUGAUUCUGCCUCAAAAACCCAGUAAGAAUGUAACAUCACUCAGCCUUCUACUUGACAGGUCUGAAACCUGGAGACAUUGCCCUUGGGAAGCGGACCACCUUCAGCAACCUUUGCACCACUGAGAACUUUCUAGAAAUGCCUUAGAACUUCCCAUGACUGUCAGCUAAUGAAUUUGAGGAACUCUAUCAGCUUGUUACCAGAAAUCUCAGAGUCAUGAAUUUUGAGCCUGAAUCUUCUUCCUCUAGUUUCUGUCUCUUGGAAACUAGCCAGUGUCCAGGGAGCUUAGUUCAGUGGCUUUUGUCGUGGACUCUCUGGGAGGUAGGAGAGGGGACAUGCUGGUGUUAUGAAGCUUGGGUAUAGCAUCGUACUCCAGCCUACAAGCUGGUUACCACUCAACUGCUGUAAUGGAAAGGACUGUGUUUAUGGUGAGGAGCAUAGAACACUUUGAGGUGGACUCCUGAGGAAUGAAGGAUCUCUGACCCAACUACUGCCUGGUCUCCACAAUCAUAGUUUACACUAACUUGAUGGGAGACAAAAAGCCUACUUGCUCUAAUUGGCACAGUAGAUACCUGAUGCCACCUGUACAGAUUAACUAGUCCACUGGCAAAAAGAACUGUGCCAAAAGAUAUGACAUAAUUUCCGUCCUAUUGCCUGUCUCUUGCAGGAUUACAAGAGGCGAGAAGAGCCUGCACAUUCCAGUAGCCUCGUUUUAAGAUCUAAGUUCCUUACAGUAAGACUUACUGAGGAUGACAGUCAUCUUAAGAUGUCUGUAGUAAAGAAUACAUUUUUUUGUAGUUUUUCUUUUACUUACUAAAACACUGUCUAUAAUUGCUUUUAUACAUAUAAAAUUGUGAUAUGAAAUUAUUAAAAAUUUGACACAUCCCUUUAUAUUUCCGUACUUAUUUCAUUGCUGACUGGAACGGCUUGUAGUGAUUUUAGUCUAUGUACUAAUUACUUUUCUCAAAGCUGUAACAAAGCAUCUGACAAAAACAAGGGAAGAGGGUUAUUUGGAC
Long non-coding RNA from Microtus ochrogaster (prairie vole), 2487 nucleotides. RefSeq lists it as uncharacterized. NCBI's taxonomy places the organism in Eukaryota, Metazoa, Chordata, Mammalia, Rodentia, Cricetidae. The record is from RefSeq and is a predicted model, not a curated record.